Molecule: ribosomal RNA, 510 nt
Filed under: uncultured SAR86 cluster bacterium
Lineage: Bacteria; Pseudomonadati; Pseudomonadota; Gammaproteobacteria
Description: bacterial SSU rRNA
Rfam family: Bacterial small subunit ribosomal RNA
Source: RNAcentral
CCGGUNGGCUUAACNCAUGCAAGUCGNGCGAGAAAGUAUCUUCGGAUAUGAGUAGAGCGGCGGACGGGUGAGUAACGCGUAGGAAUCUACCUAGUAGAAGGGGAUAGCCCGGGGAAACCCGGAUUAAUACCGUAUACCUCCUUCGGGAGAAAGAAGGCCUCUCUUUGAAGCUUUCGCUAUUAGAUGAGCCUGCGUAAGAUUAGCUUGUUGGUGAGGUAAAGGCUCACCAAGGCUACGAUCUUUAGCUGGUCUGAGAGGACGAUCAGCCACAUUGGGACUGAGACACGGCCCAGACUCCUACGGGAGGCAGCAGUGGGGAAUAUUGGACAAUGGGCGCAAGCCUGAUCCAGCCAUACCGCGUGUGUGAAGAAGGCCUUCGGGUUGUAAAGCACUUUAAGCAGGGAGAAAAAGUUAUAAGUUAAUACCUUAUAACCGUGAUGUUACCUGCAGAAUAAGCACCGGCUAAUUCCGUGCCAGCAGCCGCGGUAAUACGGAAGGUGCAAGCGUUAA